UUCUUUAAUGUCUUGAAAUUAAUUUUUUUGUUGGUAUAGAAGCAGAAAAUAAGGCAUUCGUAGGACGAGAAGACCCUAUCGAGCUUAAAUAUAAAUUUGGCUUAGGUACGUAUAGUAUUUUCUUGCUAAUAGGUCUUUUUAAGACAGGUACUUUUACUUGUUAAGGUACGGGUACUGUAGGCUUGUAUUUUGGUUGGGGCAAUCGCGGAGAAAAAAGAUCCUCCGUUUAUAGUUAAGUAAAAGGUACUUCUUUGAAAUAUAAUAAUUUAUAAUAGCAUGAUCCACUUGUAAAAAGUGAACAAAGGAAUAAGUUACCGUAGGGAUAACAGCGUAAUUUUUUUAGAGAGUUCAUAUUGAUAAAAAAGUUUGCGACCUCGAUGUUGGAUCGAGACUUCCAGGAGAUGCAGCAGUUUCCAAAGGUUGGUCUGUUCGACCA
RNAcentral lists this ribosomal RNA (436 nucleotides) under Odontaster penicillatus. RNAcentral describes it as "partial 16S ribosomal RNA". The stretch from base 59 to 436 matches the Rfam family "Bacterial large subunit ribosomal RNA", at positions 2074 to 2587 of the family's 2925-position model. The record is from RNAcentral. Lineage: Eukaryota; Metazoa; Echinodermata; Asteroidea; Valvatida; Odontasteridae.